UACCAGCACCCCGAGUGGUCGGGACAAUUAUUGGGCCUAAAGCAUCCGUAGCCGGUACUGCAAGUCUUCCGUUAAAUCCACCUGCUCAACAGUUGGGCUGCGGAGGAUACUACAGCGCUAGGAGGCGGGAGAGGCAAGCGGUACUCAUUGGGUAGGGGUAAAAUCCACUGAUCCAUUGAAGACCACCAGUGGCGAAGGCGGCUUGCCAGAACGCGCUCGACGGUGAGGGAUGAAAGCUGGGGGAGCAAACCGG
RNAcentral lists this ribosomal RNA (253 nucleotides) under uncultured bacterium. RNAcentral's name for it is "partial 16S ribosomal RNA". It matches the Rfam family "Archaeal small subunit ribosomal RNA", at positions 474 to 727 of the family's 1478-position model. The record is from RNAcentral.